Molecule: microRNA precursor, 157 nt
Filed under: Glycine max (soybean)
Lineage: Eukaryota; Viridiplantae; Streptophyta; Magnoliopsida; Fabales; Fabaceae
Description: miR4400 stem-loop (gma-MIR4400)
Source: miRBase by way of RNAcentral
CGGAAGACUCUUCUUUCGGAAAAAUUCUGGAAGACGUCACUCCGAAAAACUCCUAGAAGAACCUUCUUCCGGAAGAAGAAGGUGGGCCUCCCGAAGAACUCCAGAAUACGUUCUGCAAGGACGUGUCCCGGAAUUUUUUCGAAAGAAGGGUCUUCUG